This 474-nucleotide ribosomal RNA is filed under the name Triticum aestivum (bread wheat). RNAcentral describes it as "partial small subunit ribosomal RNA". The record is from RNAcentral. Lineage: Eukaryota; Viridiplantae; Streptophyta; Magnoliopsida; Poales; Poaceae.
GCCGCUUGUGCAGUUGAUGCACACAAUUUCAUAUUUCUAGUUGCGUACGGUGUGCUGGAGAUAGAGUCUGAGCAGAGCUCGACUUGGUUUUUGCAUAAUCUGCGUCGGGCUAUUGCACAUCCCAAUGGGUUGUUAAUUCAUACAUAUGCUUGCAAAGGUUUAGAAUUGGUUGUGGACAAUGUGUUCCUAGCUGGAGUAGAGCAUAGGGAAUGCAUGCGCCGCCUUGCUGCAAAUUUUGUGAAGAAAUACAAAGGAAAGGUGUAUACCGACAAUUUAUGGCCAACAUCUUUGACUUGCGGUGUGAAGAAGCACAACUACCACUUGAGGCAGUUAUACAUGAAUCCCAAAGUGAAGGAAUACUUGGAAACACACCACUCCAAGUUAUGGGCCAGAAGCCAAUUUAGUGAAUUGAGAAAGUUGACUAUGUGCACAAUAAUCUUGCAGAGUCUUUCAACUCAACGAUCCGGAAACUAA